Molecule: non-coding RNA, 83 nt
Organism: Umbelopsis sp. AD052
Lineage: Eukaryota; Fungi; Mucoromycota; Umbelopsidomycetes; Umbelopsidales; Umbelopsidaceae
Source: the annotation of a GenBank genome assembly
GCUGAGAUGGCCGAGUUGGUCUAAGGCGCCGCACUCAAGUUGCGGUCUCGUAAGAGGCGGGGGUUCGAAUCCCCCUUUCAGCA